UGGGGAAUUUUGGACAAUGGGCGAAAGCCUGAUCCAGCCAUGCCGCGUGAGUGAAGAAGGCCUUCGGGUUGUAAAGCUCUUUUAGUCGGAAAGAAAGAGUUGCAAUGAAUAAUUGUGAUUUAUGACGGUACCGACAGAAAAAGCACCGGCUAACUACGUGCCAGCAGCCGCGGUAAUACGUAGGGUGCGAGCGUUAAUCGGAAUUACUGGGCGUAAAGGGUGCGCAGGCGGUCUUGCAAGUCAGAUGUGAAAGCCCGGGGCUUAACCUGGGAAUUGCGUUUGAAACUACAAGGCUAGAGUGCAGCAGAGGGGAGUGGAAUUCCUUGUGUAGCAGUGAAAUGCGUAGAGAUGUGGAAGAACACCGAUGGCGAAGGCAGCUCCCUGGGUUGACACUGACGCUCAUGCACGAAAGCGUGGGGAGCAAACA
Molecule: ribosomal RNA, 427 nt
Filed under: uncultured beta proteobacterium
Lineage: Bacteria; Pseudomonadati; Pseudomonadota; Betaproteobacteria
Description: bacterial SSU rRNA
Rfam family: Bacterial small subunit ribosomal RNA
Source: RNAcentral